UACGAAGGGGGCAAGCGUUGUUCGGAUUCACUGGGCGUACAGGGUGUGUAGGCGGUUUGGUAAGUCUUCUGUUAAAGCUUCGGGCCCAACCCGGAAAGCGCAGAGGGUACUGCCAGGCUAGAGGGCGGGAGAGGUGCGCGGAAUUCCCGGUGUAGCGGUGAAAUGCGUAGAUAUCUGGAGGAACACCGGUGGCGAAGGCGGCGUCCUGGACCAACACUGACACUGAGGCGCGAAAGCGUGGGGAGCAAACGGG
Molecule: ribosomal RNA, 253 nt
Filed under: uncultured bacterium
Lineage: Bacteria
Description: partial 16S ribosomal RNA
Rfam family: Bacterial small subunit ribosomal RNA
Source: RNAcentral